AGAGUUUGAUCCUGGCUCAGGAUGAACGCUGGCGGUAUGCCUUAUACAUGCAAGUCGUACGAGAGUUUUUAACUCUAGUGGCGGACGGGUGAGUAACACGUAAGAAUUUGCCUUUAGGAGGGGGACAACAACUGGAAACGGUUGCUAAUACCCCAUAUGCUUUCGAGUGAAAUGGAUUUCCGCCUAAAGAGAAGCUUGCGGCUGAUUAGCUUGUUGGUAGGGUAAUGGCCUACCAAGGCGACGAUCAGUAUCUGGUUUGAGAGGACGAUCAGACACACUGGAACUGAGACACGGUCCAGACUCCUACGGGAGGCAGCAGUAGGGAAUUUUCCGCAAUGGGCGAAAGCCUGACGGAGCAAUACCGCGUGAGGGAUGACUGCCUAUGGGUUGUAAACCUCUUUUUUCAGGGAGGAAUAAAUGACGUGUACCUGAAGAAUAAGCAUCGGCUAACUCCGUGCCAGCAGCCGCGGUAAGACGGAGGAUGCAAGUGUUAUCCGGAAUCACUGGGCGUAAAGCGUCUGUAGGUGGCUCGACAAGUCAACUGUUAAAUCUUGAAGCUCAACUUCGAAAUCGCAGUCGAAACUAUCGAACUAGAGUAUAGUAGAGGUAAAGGGAAUUUCCAGUGGAGCGGUGAAAUGCGUAGAGAUUGGAAAGAACACCGAUGACGAAGGCACUUUACUGGGCUAUUACUGACACUCAGAGACGAAAGCUA
This 712-nucleotide ribosomal RNA is filed under the name uncultured bacterium. RNAcentral describes it as "bacterial SSU rRNA". It matches the Rfam family "Bacterial small subunit ribosomal RNA", at positions 8 to 762 of the family's 1533-position model. The record is from RNAcentral.